RNAcentral lists this ribosomal RNA (1316 nucleotides) under Staphylococcus aureus. Its description in RNAcentral is "partial 23S ribosomal RNA". It matches the Rfam family "Bacterial large subunit ribosomal RNA", at positions 1603 to 2925 of the family's 2925-position model. The record is from RNAcentral. Lineage: Bacteria; Bacillati; Bacillota; Bacilli; Caryophanales; Staphylococcaceae.
CACUGCCGAGAAAAGCCUCUAGAUAGAAAAUAGGUGCCCGUACCGCAAACCGACACAGGUAGUCAAGAUGAGAAUUCUAAGGUGAGCGAGCGAACUCUCGUUAAGGAACUCGGCAAAAUGACCCCGUAACUUCGGGAGAAGGGGUGCUCUUUAGGGUUAACGCCCAGAAGAGCCGCAGUGAAUAGGCCCAAGCGACUGUUUAUCAAAAACACAGGUCUCUGCUAAACCGUAAGGUGAUGUAUAGGGGCUGACGCCUGCCCGGUGCUGGAAGGUUAAGAGGAGUGGUUAGCUUCUGCGAAGCUACGAAUCGAAGCCCCAGUAAACGGCGGCCGUAACUAUAACGGUCCUAAGGUAGCGAAAUUCCUUGUCGGGUAAGUUCCGACCCGCACGAAAGGCGUAACGAUUUGGGCACUGUCUCAACGAGAGACUCGGUGAAAUCAUAGUACCUGUGAAGAUGCAGGUUACCCGCGACAGGACGGAAAGACCCCGUGGAGCUUUACUGUAGCCUGAUAUUGAAAUUCGGCACAGCUUGUACAGGAUAGGUAGGAGCCUUUGAAACGUGAGCGCUAGCUUACGUGGAGGCGCUGGUGGGAUACUACCCUAGCUGUGUUGGCUUUCUAACCCGCACCACUUAUCGUGGUGGGAGACAGUGUCAGGCGGGCAGUUUGACUGGGGCGGUCGCCUCCUAAAAGGUAACGGAGGCGCUCAAAGGUUCCCUCAGAAUGGUUGGAAAUCAUUCAUAGAGUGUAAAGGCAUAAGGGAGCUUGACUGCGAGACCUACAAGUCGAGCAGGGUCGAAAGACGGACUUAGUGAUCCGGUGGUUCCGCAUGGAAGGGCCAUCGCUCAACGGAUAAAAGCUACCCCGGGGAUAACAGGCUUAUCUCCCCCAAGAGUUCACAUCGACGGGGAGGUUUGGCACCUCGAUGUCGGCUCAUCGCAUCCUGGGGCUGUAGUCGGUCCCAAGGGUUGGGCUGUUCGCCCAUUAAAGCGGUACGCGAGCUGGGUUCAGAACGUCGUGAGACAGUUCGGUCCCUAUCCGUCGUGGGCGUAGGAAAUUUGAGAGGAGCUGUCCUUAGUACGAGAGGACCGGGAUGGACAUACCUCUGGUGUACCAGUUGUCGUGCCAACGGCAUAGCUGGGUAGCUAUGUGUGGACGGGAUAAGUGCUGAAAGCAUCUAAGCAUGAAGCCCCCCUCAAGAUGAGAUUUCCCAACUUCGGUUAUAAGAUCCCUCAAAGAUGAUGAGGUUAAUAGGUUCGAGGUGGAAGCAUGGUGACAUGUGGAGCUGACGAAUACUAAUCGAUCGAAGACUUAAUC